Molecule: non-coding RNA, 72 nt
Organism: Pangasius djambal
Lineage: Eukaryota; Metazoa; Chordata; Actinopteri; Siluriformes; Pangasiidae
Source: the annotation of a GenBank genome assembly
UCCUUGGAGGGCUAGUGGUUAGGCCACAGCGCUCUCAAUGCUGCAGCCUGGGUUCGGUUCCUGGUCAGGGAA